GGGUGGUGGAUGUCUAGUGUCCCUUAUGGCUCUAAUCUGAUAGUGGUAGUGGGGGGUGGCAGAUUCCUAGUGUCCCUUAUGGCUCUAAUCUGAUAGUGGUAGUGGGGUGGUAGAUUCCUAGUGUCCCUUAUGGCUCUAAUCUGAUAGUGGUAGUGGGGUGGUAGAUUCCUAGGGUCCCUUAUGGCUCUAAUCUGAUAGUGGUAGUGGGGUGGUAGAUUCCUAGUGUCCCUUAUGGCUCUAAUCUGAUAGUGGUAUUGGGGUGGUAGAUUCCUAGUGUCCCUUAUGGCUCUAAUCUGAUAGUGGUAGUGGGGGGUGGCAGAUUCCUAGUGUCCCUUAUGGCUCUAAUCUGAUAGUGGUAGUGGGGUGGUAGAUUCCUAGUGUCCCUUAUGGCUCUAAUAUGAUAAUGGUAGUAGGGUGGUGGAUGUCUAGUGUCCCUUAUGGCUCUAAUAUGAUAAUGGCAGUAGGGUGGUGGAUGUCUAGUGUCCCUUAUGGCUCUAAUAUGAUAAUGGUAGUAGGGUGGUGGAUGUCUAGUGUCCCUUAUGGCUCUAAUCUGAUAAUGGUAGUAGGGUGGUAGAUGUCUAGUGUCCCUUAUGGCUCUAAUCUGAUAGUGGUAGUAGGGGUGGCAGAUUCCUAGUGUCCCUUAUGGCUCUAAUCUGAUAGUGGUAGUGGGGUGGUAGAUUCCUAGGGUCCCUUAUGGCUCUAAUAGGAUAGUGGUAGUGGGGUUGUAGAUUCCUAGUGUCCCUUAUGGCUCUAAUCUGAUAGUGGUAGUGGGGUGGUUGAUUCCUAGUGUCCCUUAUGGCUCUAAUCUGAUAGUGGUAGUGGGGUGGUAGAGUCCUAGUGUCCCUUAUGGCUCUAAUCUGAUAGUGGUAGUGGGGGGUGGCAGAUUCCUAGUGUCCCUUAUGGCUCUAAUCUGAUAGUGGUAGUGGGGUGGUAGAUUCCUAGUGUCCCUUGUGGCUCUAAUAUGAUAAUGGCAGUAGGGUGGUGGAUGUCUAGUGUCCCUUAUGGCUCUAAUAUGAUAAUGGUAGUAGGGUGGUGGAUGUCUAGUGUCCCUUAUGGCUCUAAUAUGAUAAUGGUAGUAGGGUGGUGGAUGUCUAGUGUCCCUUAUGGCUCUAAUCUGACAGUAGUAGUGGGGGGUGGCAGAUUCCUAGUGUCCCUUAUGGCUCUAAUCUGAUAGUGGUAGUGGGGUGGUAGAUUCCUAGUGUCCCUUAUGGCUCUAAUCUGAUAGUGGUAGUGGGGUGGUAGAUUCCUAGGGUCCCUUAUGGCUCUAAUAGGAUAGUGGUAGUGGGGUGGUAGAUUCCUAGUGUCCCUUAUGGCUCUAAUCUGAUAGUGGUAGUGGGGUGGUUGAUUCCUAGUGUCCCUUAUGGCUCUAAUCUGAUAGUGGUAGUGGGGUGGUAGAUUCCUAGUGUCCCUUAUGGCUCUAAUAUGAUAGUGGAUGUAGGGUGGUGGAUGUCUAGUGUCCCUUAUGGCUCUAAUAUGAUAAUGGUAGUGGGGUGGUAGAUUCCUAGUGUCCCUUGUGGCUCUAAUAUGAUAAUGGUAGUAGGGUGGUG
This is a long non-coding RNA of Oncorhynchus tshawytscha (Chinook salmon), 1547 nucleotides long. NCBI's taxonomy places the organism in Eukaryota, Metazoa, Chordata, Actinopteri, Salmoniformes, Salmonidae. The record is from Ensembl.